AACUAAGUUUAUUCUUGGUAUAAGCUUUCUUGUGCAUGCACACUGUGUAUCUGAAGAAGUGUGCAUGUACACGAAAGCCUAUACCAAGAACAAAUAUAGUUGG
This is a non-coding RNA of Podarcis lilfordi (Lilford's wall lizard), 103 nucleotides long. NCBI's taxonomy places the organism in Eukaryota, Metazoa, Chordata, Lepidosauria, Squamata, Lacertidae. The record is from the annotation of a GenBank genome assembly.